AAUUCAGCCGACUUUCUUAUUAGAGAAACAGUUAGGAAUGAUCACUGUGUUAUGACAUAUUUGACACUUAACUCACACUAUUUUCAACAAUAUUCAGUGUUGAACUCGUUUUCCACAUAACUCACUAUGUCUAUCGUGCCGUUAAAAAUUUUGAACCGGGAGGGUCAUUUUCGUCCAAUAAAAUUGUGAAAGACUGAAAGUAUAGUUUUGUUGAGCUAGAAAGGGAGUGAGAGUGAGAGUGAGAGUGAGAGUGAGAGCGAGAGCGAGGGGAGGAGGAGAAAAUCUAAAAACUUUGAUCGAGCAGCGAUGUCAGAUUCGCCGAAGAUGUGGAGAUAUUUGAGAAUUGAUGGAGGGCCACCAACAAAGCAUGCAUGGAAAGAACACCGUCAAAUGUUGCAAGUGCUUCAUCUCAACCGGUGAUCUCUUCACCAUCUCUGACUCAAGGGAAGUUAAUGAAGACCAAGUCAGUAGCACAUAAGGGUAAACCCAUGCCUAAACCUGUGACAAGAACUAG
Molecule: long non-coding RNA, 514 nt
Organism: Rosa rugosa (rugosa rose)
Lineage: Eukaryota; Viridiplantae; Streptophyta; Magnoliopsida; Rosales; Rosaceae
Exons: 3
Source: RefSeq, a predicted model, not a curated record